AAUGGACCUGGAGGAAGUAGUGGAGAUGAAGUUCUCAAGUGUUUGAAGAUAAGAAGUAAAAGAGGCAGGAGGAGAAUUACGGGAAAGGAAAGAUUGUUUCCUUCAGCUGACACGGUUAGAGCCAUGAUUCUGAAAACUAGAGAUGAUUUUUAAUUUGCAUGUAGAAUUAGUUUGAUUAAUUAGCAAUUUAUAGGUGAUAUGGGAAUGCAUUUUUUAAAUUACAGAAAGUAGAAUUUGUCAAUUAUGUAUAAAAAAUCCAACCAAAACCUCUUUGAUGGAACUAGUUGUUCGCUUUGAAUCAUUACUUUGAAU
This 312-nucleotide unclassified non-coding RNA is filed under the name Hevea brasiliensis (rubber tree). Lineage: Eukaryota; Viridiplantae; Streptophyta; Magnoliopsida; Malpighiales; Euphorbiaceae. The record is from RNAcentral.